RNAcentral lists this ribosomal RNA (497 nucleotides) under uncultured bacterium. RNAcentral describes it as "partial 16S ribosomal RNA". It matches the Rfam family "Bacterial small subunit ribosomal RNA", at positions 28 to 507 of the family's 1533-position model. The record is from RNAcentral.
GAUGAACGCUGGCGGCGUGCCUAAUACAUGCAAGUCGAGCGAACGGACGAGAAGCUUGCUUCUCUGAUGUUAGCGGCGGACGGGUGAGUAACACGUGGAUAACCUACCUAUAAGACUGGGAUAACUUCGGGAAACCGGAGCUAAUACCGGAUAAUAUUUUGAACCGCAUGGUUCAAAAGUGAAAGACGGUCUUGCUGUCACUUAUAGAUGGAUCCGCGCUGCAUUAGCUAGUUGGUAAGGUAACGGCUUACCAAGGCAACGAUGCAUAGCCGACCUGAGAGGGUGAUCGGCCACACUGGAACUGAGACACGGUCCAGACUCCUACGAGAGGCAGCAGUAGGGAAUCUUCCGCAAUGGGCGAAAGCCUGACGGAGCAACGCCGCGUGAGUGAUGAAGGUCUUCGGAUCGUAAAACUCUGUUAUUAGGGAAGAACAUAUGUGUAAGUAACUGUGCACAUCUUGACGGUACCUAAUCAGAAAGCCACGGCUAACUACGUG